UGUGCUGUCUAGCCUGAGUGUACACCUAGGACAGUUUACUGAUUAGGGAUAUUAAUAUCAUACAGUACAUACAUCAAAUAUGCAGUACGCUUUCGGAGUACAAGUGUAUGGGGAGGUUUUGUAUCUUGAAUUUUACUCAGUUUUCUCAGAAUCGUAUACUACCAUGACAUAUUGCUCUGUAAAAGAAUGCAUUAGUACCUCAUCGUGUAAAAAUAUAAUCCUGCACACGAUAAAAGAGCAGUGGAUUUCAAUAGUUAAAUGGAAAACAGACUCUCCUAGCCAGAUAUGCAGUCGGCAUUUUGAAAAUAUAUGCUACAGAACUCUCUACUGUAAAAAGUUGUGGAACAAUGCUGUACCCGGCCAUAGAUUUGGCUGUAACUACAGAUUUUCAUGUCCAAGUGAUAAAGACAGACCAUAAUUAUUCCCUGCUUUCUUCUCAAUAAAUUAUUCAACUUCUCCAAGAUAGUGCGGAAAUGGGAAUGAAAUACAGAGAGAAAUGUUACAACCUUCAAAAACGUAGAAAAAACUUGAAAAAACUGUGGAAGAUCUCCAGGAUACACUUAAAACUGCGUGCCAAAAAUAUUCCAUCCGGAGAAUACCAUGGAGCUACUAUAAUGGCUUCUGUUUCUCAAAUUCCUGGCGAGAUUUUUCAGAGAAUUGGGAAAAAAAACGUAAAAUCUAAUACAGAAUCGAACCACCCGGCUCUAAGAACAUUUGCAUUAACCUUACACCUUUACUCGGCGCAUGCCUACAGGUUUGUUCGGAAUUUUUCAGAAGAUUGUUUGCCAAAUGAGAGACUGGAGUGCAAAAGUUGAUGAAUCCCCUGGUUUCUCAAAUUAAGUGUUUUCAUGCUUGAAACAAAAAUUGUACGACAAUUUAUGAAUAAAAGUCUUUUAAAGUAA
This is a long non-coding RNA of Eurytemora carolleeae, 902 nucleotides long. RefSeq lists it as uncharacterized. The transcript is spliced from 2 exons. Lineage: Eukaryota; Metazoa; Arthropoda; Copepoda; Calanoida; Temoridae. The record is from RefSeq and is a predicted model, not a curated record.